ACAUGGCCGUGAUGAUAAACACUAUUAGAAAACAUGACAGUUCUGCUUCUGAUAGUUUAUGACAGAAGAACAAAAGAUCUGAGCCAUUA
This is a small nucleolar RNA of Lolium perenne, 89 nucleotides long. NCBI's taxonomy places the organism in Eukaryota, Viridiplantae, Streptophyta, Magnoliopsida, Poales, Poaceae. The record is from RefSeq and is a predicted model, not a curated record.